This 468-nucleotide ribosomal RNA is filed under the name uncultured bacterium. Its description in RNAcentral is "bacterial SSU rRNA". It matches the Rfam family "Bacterial small subunit ribosomal RNA", at positions 46 to 507 of the family's 1533-position model. The record is from RNAcentral.
GCCUUACACAUGCAAGUCGAACGGCAGCGCGGGGGCAACCCUGGCGGCGAGUGGCGAACGGGUGAGUAAUGCAUCGGAACGUGCCCAACGGAUGGGGGAUAACUGCGCGAAAGCGUUGCUAAUACCGCAUACGACCUACGGGUGAAAGCAGGGGACCGCAAGGCCUUGCGUCGAUGGAGCGGCCGAUGUCGGAUUAGCUAGUUGGUGGGGUAAAGGCCUACCAAGGCGACGAUCCGUAGCUGGUCUGAGAGGACGACCCAGCCACACUGGGACUGAGACACGGCCCAGACUCCUACGGGAGGCAGCAGUGGGGAAUCUUGGACAAUGGGCGAAAGCCUGAUCCAGCAAUGCCGCGUGUGGGAAGAAGGCCUUCGGGUUGUAAACCACUUUUGGCGGGAAAGAAAUGGUCUGUGCUAAUACCACGGAUUGAUGACGGUACCCGCAGAAUAAGCUCCGGCUAACUUCGUG